Non-coding RNA from Dipodomys ordii (Ord's kangaroo rat), 58 nucleotides. NCBI's taxonomy places the organism in Eukaryota, Metazoa, Chordata, Mammalia, Rodentia, Heteromyidae. The record is from Rfam.
UAGCUCAGUGGUAGAGUGCUUGCCUUGCAUGCAUGAGGCCCUGGGUUCAAUUCCUCAG